CCUACGGGUGGCAGCAGUGAGGAAUAUUGGUCAAUGGGCGCGAGCCUGAACCAGCCAAGUAGCGUGAAGGAUGACUGCCCUACGGGUUGUACACUUCUUUUAUAAAGGAAUAAAGUGAGGCACGUGUGCCGUGUCGUAUGUACUUUAUGAAUAAGGAUCGGCUAAAUCCGUGCCAGCAGACGCGGUAAUACGGAGGAGCCGAGCGUUAUCCGGAUUUAUUGGGUUUAAAGGGAGCGUAGAUGGGUUGUUAAGUCAGUUGUGAAAGUUUGCGGCUCAACCGUAAAAUUGCAAUUGAUACUGGCAGUCUUGAGUACAGUUGAGGUUGGCGGAAUUCGUGGUGUAGCGGUGAAAUGCUUAGAUAUCACGAAGAACUCCGAUUGCGAAGGCAGCUUACUAAACUGCCACUGACAUUGAUGCUCGAAAGUGUGGGUAUCAAACAGGAUUAGAUACCCGUGUAGUC
Molecule: ribosomal RNA, 460 nt
Filed under: uncultured bacterium
Lineage: Bacteria
Description: partial 16S ribosomal RNA
Rfam family: Bacterial small subunit ribosomal RNA
Source: RNAcentral